RNAcentral lists this ribosomal RNA (407 nucleotides) under uncultured Nocardioides sp. Its description in RNAcentral is "bacterial SSU rRNA". It matches the Rfam family "Bacterial small subunit ribosomal RNA", at positions 353 to 772 of the family's 1533-position model. Lineage: Bacteria; Bacillati; Actinomycetota; Actinomycetes; Propionibacteriales; Nocardioidaceae. The record is from RNAcentral.
AGUGGGGAAUAUUGGACAAUGGGCGGAAGCCUGAUCCAGCAACGCCGCGUGAGGGAUGACGGCCUUCGGGUUGUAAACCUCUUUCAGUACCGACGAAGCGAAAGUGACGGUAGGUACAGAAGAAGCACCGGCCAACUACGUGCCAGCAGCCGCGGUAAUACGUAGGGUGCGAGCGUUGUCCGGAAUUAUUGGGCGUAAAGGGCUCGUAGGCGGUUUGUCGCGUCGGGAGUGAAAACACUGGGCUUAACUCAGUGCUUGCUUCCGAUACGGGCAGACUAGAGGUAUGCAGGGGAGAACGGAAUUCCUGGUGUAGCGGUGAAAUGCGCAGAUAUCAGGAGGAACACCGGUGGCGAAGGCGGUUCUCUGGGCAUUACCUGACGCUGAGGAGCGAAAGUGUGGGGAGCGAA